This 795-nucleotide ribosomal RNA is filed under the name uncultured bacterium. Its description in RNAcentral is "bacterial SSU rRNA". It matches the Rfam family "Bacterial small subunit ribosomal RNA", at positions 8 to 796 of the family's 1533-position model. The record is from RNAcentral.
AGAGUUUGAUCCUGGCUCAGAUUGAACGCUGGCGGCGUGCCUAACACAUGCAAGUCGAGCGGUAACAGGUGUAGCAAUACAUGCUGACGAGCGGCGAACGGGUGAGUAAUGCUUCGGAAUCUACCCAAUGGCGGGGAAUAACUAGCCGAAAGGUUAGCUAAUACCGCAUAAGCCCUACGGGGGAAAGCAGGGGAUCGUAAGACCUUGCACCGAUGGAUGAGCCGAAGCCGGAUUAGCUAGUUGGUAGGGUAACGGCCUACCAAGGCGACGAUCCGUAGCUGGUCUGAGAGGACGACCAGCCACACUGGGACUGAGACACGGCCCAGACUCCUACGGGAGGCAGCAGUGGGGAAUAUUGGACAAUGGGGGAAACCCUGAUCCAGCGACGCCGCGUGUGUGAAGAAGGCCUGCGGGUUGUAAAGCACUUUUAGUGGGGAUGAAAAGUUCAGGGCUAAUAUCCCUGGAUCUUGACCUAACCCAAAGAAAAAGCACCGGCUAACUCUGUGCCAGCAGCCGCGGUAAUACAGAGGGUGCAAGCGUUAAUCGGAAUUACUGGGCGUAAAGCGUGCGUAGACGGUUAUGUAAGUCAGGUGCGAAAGCCCCGGGCUCAACCUGGGAAUGCCAUUUGAGACUGCAUAGCUAGGGUACGGAAGAGGGAAGCGGAAUUUCAGGUGUAGCGGUGAAAUGCGUAGAUAUCUGAAGGAACACCAGUGGCGAAAGCGGCUUCCUGGUCCAGUACCGACGUUCAGGCACGAAAGCGUGGGGAGCAAACAGGAUUAGAUACCCUAGUAGUCC